GAAUUCAAACGCGGAGCUGUGCUGGCUUUCAGGAGCAUGUGCACGCUUUGCAUAUAUUCAACCACCUGUGAACCUAAUGUAGAUCUGAGAAUAUUUCUCAAGGAAACUUGGACGUGGAGUUGCUGGUCUUGAAAGAGGUCGACUGCUCUUGCUUCUCAGGUCUAUGCUUUAUACACCCCAUAAUAUGUUAUAGAGUGUUUUAACGGCUUUAUAAGCCUUAAACUUAAUACAACUUUCAACAACGGAUCUCUUGGCUCU
RNAcentral lists this unclassified non-coding RNA (258 nucleotides) under rhizosphere metagenome. RNAcentral describes it as "partial ribosomal RNA internal transcribed spacer region". The record is from RNAcentral.